AUUGAACGCUGGCGGCAGGCUUAACACAUGCAAGUCGAGCGGAGCGAGGGUGCUUGCACCUUAGCUUAGCGGCGGACGGGUGAGUAAUGCUUAGGAAUCUGCCUAUUAGUGGGGGACAACAUCUCGAAAGGGAUGCUAAUACCGCAUACGUCCUACGGGAGAAAGCAGGGGAUCUUCGGACCUUGCGCUAAUAGAUGAGCCGAAGUCGGAUUAGCUAGUUGGUGGGGUAAAGGCCUACCAAGGCGACGAUCUGUAGCGGGUCUGAGAGGAUGAUCCGCCACACUGGGACUGAGACACGGCCCAGACUCCUACGGGAGGCAGCAGUGGGGAAUAUUGGACAAUGGGGGGAACCCUGAUCCAGCCAUGCCGCGUGUGUGAAGAAGGCCUUAUGGUUGUAAAGCACUUUAAGCGAGGAGGAGGCUACUCUAGUUAAUACCUAGGGAUAGUGGACGUUACUCGCAGAAUAAGCACCGGCUAACUCUGUGCCAGCAGCCGCCGUAA
RNAcentral lists this ribosomal RNA (501 nucleotides) under uncultured bacterium. RNAcentral describes it as "partial 16S ribosomal RNA". It matches the Rfam family "Bacterial small subunit ribosomal RNA", at positions 30 to 523 of the family's 1533-position model. The record is from RNAcentral.